AACGCACCUUGCGCUCGCUGGUAUUCCGGCGAGCAUGUCUGUUUGAGUGUCAUGAACUCUUCAACUGCCUGUUACUAGUUGACAGUGCAUGCUUGGAUUUUGAGCGUUGCAGUCUACUGCUCGCUCGUAAUAUAUUAGCAUAUCUAAUUCGAACUCGGAUUGACUUGAUGUAAUAGACUAUUCAUCGAGGACGAGCUUGUAGUGAUAGCUUCUAAUCACCCUAGUCACCUAUUUAGACCUCAGAUCAGGCAGGAUUACCCGCUGAACUUAA
Molecule: unclassified non-coding RNA, 271 nt
Filed under: Lecanicillium sp.
Lineage: Eukaryota; Fungi; Ascomycota; Sordariomycetes; Hypocreales; Cordycipitaceae
Description: partial contains 5.8S ribosomal RNA, internal transcribed spacer 2, and large subunit ribosomal RNA
Rfam family: 5.8S ribosomal RNA (bases 1-52)
Source: RNAcentral